AAGAGUUCAAGCCCCAUAUAGGUAGAUCUCCCCUCCUUGAAUAUGUUACUUUGUUGCUUUGGUGGGGCGUACUUUUAUACCACUGGUACUUGCUAGUGAGUACCCGCUGGAGAAUUCUAAAUUCUGAAUUAUUUAUUGUUGUCUGAGAGCUAUAUAAUUGUUA
Molecule: unclassified non-coding RNA, 163 nt
Filed under: uncultured Helotiales
Lineage: Eukaryota; Fungi; Ascomycota; Leotiomycetes; Helotiales
Description: sequence contains ITS1
Source: RNAcentral